AAAAUUAUGGAAAUAGUGUAACUUUUAUAAAAAUUACGGAAGUAGUGUAUUUUCUGGGAACUCGUAACUCUUAUCCACGACUUUACAAAAACUCGUGACUCAUAUAUACGACUUUACAGGAACUUGUGACUUACAUCCAGGAGUUCCAUUUUUUUUUCUCUCUCCUCAAGUGUCGUGGAUGAGAAUCACGAUUUCAAUUUGUCCAAUAUUGGUAUGUCACAUCAAAGUUAAACAUAUAAUAUAUUAGGUAAUAUAGUCUCACUUUUUAUGUCUCAUUGUGUCUUAAUCUAAUUGAAGUUGACACAUACUUAAAAAUAAAAAUUAUAAAAACAAAAAAUAUUUUUUUAUGUUAUUUGAUUGGUUUGGGACAUGAAAACAUGAUUUUUUUUGGGACAAAUUAUCUCGUUCCAUAAGGAAUUUAAGAAUGGACAUGGGAGUCGUGGAUGAGAACCACGAGACUUGAGGAGAGAAAAAAAUGGAACUCGUGCAUGUGAGCCACGAGUUCCUGUAAAGUCAUGGAUGAGAGUCAUGAAUUCCUUAAAAAAUACACUACUUCCGUAGUUUUUAUAAAAGUUACACUAUUUCCAUAAUUUUACAGUCAACCUACACCAACUGAGUAAAUUUUCCGAAGUAGUUCCAUUAUGACAGAUAUUAUUUUAUAUUUAUUUUAUGAAGUUUUGGGGUGCGUAGAUGUACACAUCAUUACCCUCGAAAGCGAAGAGACUGCUUCCAUGACUUGAACCCAUGAUCUCCGGGCCACAAGGCAAACAAUGUUAUCGUUAUGCCAAGGCUCACCUUCCAUCUAGACUACUGGGCCAC
This 819-nucleotide long non-coding RNA is filed under the name Lupinus angustifolius (narrow-leaved blue lupine). Its description in RNAcentral is "long non-coding RNA (LANG_LNC000024)". The record is from RNAcentral. Lineage: Eukaryota; Viridiplantae; Streptophyta; Magnoliopsida; Fabales; Fabaceae.